GUAUACAUGGCAUGCUAUGUGUAACUGUUUUGUUAUUUUAUCAGUCACACCAAAUUUUAAUAUUAGAAAUGGAUGGGACUUUUAAUAGAAAUAACCAGUUUACUCUUUAAUCCAAUGUAUAGAGACUAAUUUAUUUAUUUUUUGAGUAAACGAGGUAAAAUGAAAUUUGGCUCCUAAUACAAGGACUUCCAUGCAUGCUUUUUUUUUUUUUUUACCUUCAAUAAUGACAAUUUAAUAUUCCUUAAGAAAAGUUUGGUAAAAAUAUCAUGAAGGUCUUUGCAAUAGAUGUCAAAUUGCAUUUUGCCCCUUCUACUAAAAAAUGAGUAAAUUUGUCCCUGUACAUUAGAUUAAAUAGUAAAAUGGUCUUUUAUGUUAAAAGUUUCAUCCAAUUCUACUAUUAAAAAUUGGCAUGGCUGUUAGAAUAACUAAAUAGUGACACGUGGCAUGGCAUGUGUA
Molecule: microRNA precursor, 456 nt
Filed under: Gossypium raimondii (Peruvian cotton)
Lineage: Eukaryota; Viridiplantae; Streptophyta; Magnoliopsida; Malvales; Malvaceae
Description: miR8739 stem-loop (gra-MIR8739)
Source: miRBase by way of RNAcentral